RNAcentral lists this ribosomal RNA (393 nucleotides) under Triticum aestivum (bread wheat). RNAcentral's name for it is "partial small subunit ribosomal RNA". The record is from RNAcentral. Lineage: Eukaryota; Viridiplantae; Streptophyta; Magnoliopsida; Poales; Poaceae.
AUGAGUAGUUCAACCUGCACUAUCAUAUCCUGGAACGUUAGAGGCCUAAAUUUCCCUGCUAAACGCCAUGCUAUUCAGGAAAGUCUAGCUGCUUGGAAACCAUCCAUUGUUUGUCUCCAGGAGACGAAAAUUAGUGACUGGACCGAUGCCCUCUCUAGGGAGAUUGGGGGUGCGACGCUAGACCAAGUUUGCCACCUGCCUCCCAACGGCUCAAGAGAAGGCAUCAGCAUCUUCUGGAACAACUCUCUGGUUCACCUUAGUAAUUGUAUCACCUCUCAGUUUUCCAUGACGGCUACUGCCAACUCCCUGACGGAGGAUAAGGAAUUCUGCCUCACGACAGUAUACGGCCCAACUGAUGUGAGCCUCAAAGAAGCUUUCCUUAAUGAACUAUGA